ACUGUAAAAAAUAAUUCAGUGGCUUAGUAAAUUUCACAAAAAUAAAGAGCUAUAUUAACUUAAUAAAAUCUUUUGAAAUCAUUUAAGUGAUAUUUUGAGUGGGUCAGAUUAAAAAUAAUAAUUAAAAAUCCAACAAAUAAUUUCUCUAAAAUGUACAUAUAUUAUUUAAGUUUAUGUAAUGAAAAUAAAUAAGUAUUUAACUAACUAAUUAUAUUUUUAAUAUACCUUCAAUAUUUCUGGUGAAUUCUAAUAGAAAUAUUUGAUAAUUAUUUACUUGUACUGAUCUGUUUUAGAAACUAAAAUUAUUAAGUAUUUCCUACCAAUUUUCCUAAAUAAAGUUCCAGCUUAAUAAAUGAAAGUUUAAAUAAAUUGAGUAAAUUUCGCGGCUAAAGUGAUCACGUGUGCAGCUCCGCAGGAAAAAAAAAAAAAUCUGCUUUCCUCAGCAGCGACGUCGACUAGCCAUACACCUCACAACUCCUGUUUCGUAGCUUAAUCGAAGUCACCUGAAGGACGGCUUUCCUCAGCAACGGCAAGGCCCGCACUCCUCUCAUAUUGUGAAGUUUAACAAGUUUCGCGGCUCAAGCAAGAGGCACCUGUCACUGAAGGACUGCUUUUCUCAGCUACGACGUGAACAGCAUCACUCGAAUUUCCUGGUUCAGCUGAUCUACCCAUCUUCGUACAAGCAGAGUUGGCAGAGGAGGUCAUAAAAAUCUACAUCCUUCGGGACAAUGAUGGGGCAGUCAGCGAUGUAAUCUUGGGAAUCACAGCAGAGCCUGCUGCCAUCUUUUGGGAGUCACAUUGGAUUUGAGAUAUCCCAAGACCCACAAAUACAGGUCCUUCUCCAAAAAUUAGCAUAUUGUGAUAAAGUUCAUUAUUUUCCUUGAUGUAAUGAUAAAAAUUAAACUUUCAUAUAUUUUAGAUUCAUUGCACACCAACUGAAAUAUUUCAGGUCUUUUAUUGUUUAAAUACUGAUGCUUUUGGCAUACAGCUCAUGAAAACCCCAAACUCCUAUCUCAAAAAAUUAGCUUAUUUCAUCUGACCAAUAAAAGAAAGGUGUUUUUAAUACAAAAAAAAGUCAACCUUCAAAUAAUUAUGUUCAGUUAUGCACUUAAUACUUGGUCGGGAAUCCUGCAGAAAUGACUGCUUCAGUGUGGCGUGGCAUGGAGGCAAUCAGCCUGUGGCACUGCUGAGGUGUUAUGGAGGCCCAGGAUGCCUUGAUAGCGGCCUUAAGCUCAUCCAGAGUGUUGGAUCUUGCGUCUCUCAACUUUCUCUUCACAAUAUCCCACAGAUUCACUAUGGGGUUCAGGUCAGGAGAGUUGGCAGGCCAAUUGAGCACAGUAAUACCAUGGUCAGUAAACCAUUUACCAGUGGUUUUGGCACUGUAAGCAGGUGCCAGGUCGUGCUAAAAAACGAAAUCAUCUCCAUAAAGCUUUUCAGCAGAUGGAAGCAUGAAGUGCUCCAAAAUCUACUGAUAACUAGCUGCACUGACCCUGCCCUUGAUAAAACACAGUGGACCAAUACCAGCAGCUGACAUGGCACCCCAGACCAUCACUGACUGUGGGUACUUGACACUGGAUUUCAGGCAUUUUGGAAUUUCCUUCUCCCCAGUCUUCCUCCAGACUCUGGCACCUUGAUUUCCGAAUGACAUGCAAAAUUGGCUUUCAUCCAAAAAAAGUACUUAGGACCACUGAGCAACAGUCCAGUGCUGCUUCUCUGUAGCCCAUUUCCUGCACACGCCUGUGCACGGUGGCUCUGGAUGUUUCUACUCCAGACUCAGUCCACUGCUUCCGCAGGUCCCCCAAGGUCUGGAAUCAGUCCUUCUCCACAAUCUUCCUCAGGGUCCGGUCACUGCUUCUCGUUGUGCAGCGUUUUUUGCCACACUUUUUCCUUCCUACAGACUUCCCACUGAGGUGCCUUGAUACAGCACUCUGGUAACAGCCUAUUCGUUCAGAAAUUUCUUUCUGUGUCUUACCCUCUCGCUUGAGGGUGUCAAUGAUGGCCUUCUGGACAGCAGUCAGGUCGGCAGUCUUACCCAUGAUUGCCGUUUUGAGUAAUGAACCAGGCUGGGAGUUUUUAAAAGCCUCAGGAAUUUUUUGCAAGUGUUUAGAGUUAAUUAGCUGAUUCAGAUGAUUAGGUUAAUAGCUUGUUUAGAGAGCC
Long non-coding RNA from Carassius gibelio (silver crucian carp), 2157 nucleotides. RefSeq lists it as uncharacterized. Lineage: Eukaryota; Metazoa; Chordata; Actinopteri; Cypriniformes; Cyprinidae. The record is from RefSeq and is a predicted model, not a curated record. The transcript has 4 exons.